CGAAACAGACGCUCCUUCAAUCACUCACUACGCUCUAGGAGGAGUCAGAACAAUCAAUCAUUAACUUUCGCGAUAAAUCACGCCUCUCGCAUCUUGCCCUCCUAAGGUUUGCCAAUCUUAGGGUUCCUAGGUCCCAACGACCUAAUGCUAAACUCUGGUACCAACUUAAUCUGUCACGCCUCGGAUUACUCGUUUUUCCGGGCACGCUAACAGACCCGCCGUAUAUAUAGAAAUUUUUUCUGUAUACGAAGCGAAAAAGUAAAAGUACCUGUAAUCAAACAAUACUACAAAUAGUAGUAUAGAGCUGCUAGAAAACUAAACCAUAUAUAAAACAGUGGUUCGAUACAUACAUAUCAUCCUGGUACAAAAACACUCGCUCCAGCGAGGUACAAUAUCAGUAUGUAAAGAACUAAAAACUACAACUAUCUGUAGCUGGUACUCCUCUAGCUCUGGCUCGUCUAGAAGGGCUCUAACUCGUGACGCCCUCGCCACGAUCUGAAUAAGUAAUAGCAGCAGCCGAAGGCAAUGGCUCUACAAAAACAGGGGUAACAACUGGGCGUGAGAACUACUGCAAAAGAAGUAGUCCUCAGUGGGUACCGCUCUCAAACUCAUCGGCUCACCCACUAAGUCUACAUAUCUAUGCUCAGUGAUAAAAAAGGAAGCUGGAACAAAUCUACGGCUAUAUGCCACUAUCCUAUCAUGAACCAAUACUACUAUCUGUAAUGCAACCUCAGACUCAAAUCCAUAGGGACUGUGAACACACCUGUCCCAGGGACUGUGAACACACCCGUCCUGCCUGUCGAAUUCUAAAUGCUACCUCCACACUAAUCAAUCCGUGGAGAGCAAGUCCAACUAGGACACUACACAACGCAAACGCACAAAGCCUGACUCCGGAGUGGCACUCGUGGGCGCUACCCAACCGAGUAUGCAAGCGUAUCUCUACUAAGCUCAAUCAGGCUCUCACAGGCUAUAACCAAGUAAACAGGGUCCAACUGGUCUAACAAUCAAAACUCACGUACCCUCGGCACAAUCUGAUGCAAAACCUGCAAUCUGGGUCUACCGUCAACCCCGACGGCACCCGACAGUCCGAAACAGCCUAGACACUGCUGUAAAAAUAAACUUGGCAUCUCCGCACGAGCAUAACUGCAUUCUACACUAUCUCAGGUAUCUACCGCCAAUAACUGCGGUGAUACAGAUCAACUACAGCUCCUAAGCUUUCAGCGUAUCAAAUGCACACAACAGUGUGGAUACUAUCCG
This 1257-nucleotide long non-coding RNA is filed under the name Ananas comosus (pineapple). Its description in RNAcentral is "long non-coding RNA (ACOM_LNC042592)". The record is from RNAcentral. Lineage: Eukaryota; Viridiplantae; Streptophyta; Magnoliopsida; Poales; Bromeliaceae.